RNAcentral lists this ribosomal RNA (206 nucleotides) under uncultured bacterium. Its description in RNAcentral is "partial 16S ribosomal RNA". It matches the Rfam family "Bacterial small subunit ribosomal RNA", at positions 1295 to 1500 of the family's 1533-position model. The record is from RNAcentral.
GGAUUGAAGGCUGAAAUUCGCCUUCAUGAAGCCGGAAUUGCUAGUAAUGGCAGGUCAGCAUACUGCCGUGAAUACGUUCCCGGGCCUUGUACACACCGCCCGUCACACCAUGAGAGUUGGAAAUACCCGAAGCCUGUGAGCUAACCUUUAGGAGGCAGCAGUCGAAGGUAGAGCCAAUGAUUGGGGUGAAGUCGUAACAAGGUAGC